UGGGGAAUAUUGGGCAAUGGAGGAAACUCUGACCCAGCAACGCCGCGUGGAGGAAGAAGGUUUUCGGAUCGUAAACUCCUGUCCUUGGAGACGAGUAGAAGACGGUAUCCAAGGAGGAAGCCCCGGCUAACUACGUGCCAGCAGCCGCGGUAAUACGUAGGGGGCAAGCGUUGUCCGGAAUAAUUGGGCGUAAAGGGCGCGUAGGCGGCUCGGUAAGUCUGGAGUGAAAGUCCUGCUUUUAAGGUGGGAAUUGCUUUGGAUACUGUCGGGCUUGAGUGCAGGAGAGGUUAGUGGAAUUCCCAGUGUAGCGGUGAAAUGCGUAGAGAUUGGGAGGAACACCAGUGGCGAAGGCGACUAACUGGACUGUAACUGACGCUGAGGCGCGAAAGUGUGGGGAGCAAACAGG
Molecule: ribosomal RNA, 406 nt
Filed under: uncultured bacterium
Lineage: Bacteria
Description: bacterial SSU rRNA
Rfam family: Bacterial small subunit ribosomal RNA
Source: RNAcentral